Molecule: unclassified non-coding RNA, 329 nt
Filed under: soil metagenome
Description: partial contains 5.8S ribosomal RNA, internal transcribed spacer 2, and large subunit ribosomal RNA
Rfam family: 5.8S ribosomal RNA (bases 1-120)
Source: RNAcentral
GAUGAAGAACGCAGCGAAAUGCGAUAAGUAGUGUGAAUUGCAGAAUUCAGUGAAUCAUCGAAUCUUUGAACGCACAUUGCGCCCCUUGGUAUCCCGAGGGGCAUGCCUGUUCGAGCGUCAUUUCACCACUCAAGCCUGGCUUGGUGUUGGGCGACGUCCCCUUUGGGGACGCGCCUCGAAACGCUCGGCGGCGUGGCACCGGCUUUAAGCGUAGCAGAAUCUUUCGCUUUGGAAGUCGGGGCCCCGUCUGCCGGAAGACCUACUCGCAAGGUUGACCUCGGAUCAGGCAGGGAUACCCGCUGAAUUUAAGCAUAUCAAUAAGCGGAGGA